UACGUAGGGAGCAAGCGUUGUCCGGAAUCAUUGGGCGUAAAGCGCGCGUAGGUGGCCCGGUAAGUCCGCUCUGAAAGUCACAGGCUCAACCUGUGAAAGCGGGUGGAUACUGCCGGGCUAGAGUCCGGAAGAGGCGAGUGGAAUUCCUGGUGUAGCGGUGGAAUGCGCAGAUAUCAGGAGGAACACCAACGGCGAAGGCGGGUCUCUGGACAGUUCCUGACGCUGAGGCACGAAGGCCAGGGGAGCAAACGGG
This 253-nucleotide ribosomal RNA is filed under the name uncultured bacterium. RNAcentral describes it as "partial 16S ribosomal RNA". It matches the Rfam family "Bacterial small subunit ribosomal RNA", at positions 524 to 776 of the family's 1533-position model. The record is from RNAcentral.